Molecule: ribosomal RNA, 253 nt
Filed under: uncultured bacterium
Lineage: Bacteria
Description: partial 16S ribosomal RNA
Rfam family: Bacterial small subunit ribosomal RNA
Source: RNAcentral
UACGUAGGGGGCUAGCGUUGUCCGGAAUCAUUGGGCGUACAGCGCGUGUAGGCGGUCCGGUAAGUCCGCUGUGAAAGUCGGGGGCUCAACCCUCGAAUGCCGGUGGAUACUGUCGGGCUAGAGUGCGGAAGAGGCGAGUGGAAUUCCUGGUGUAGCGGUGAAAUGCGCAGAUAUCAGGAGGAACACCAAUUGCGAAGGCAGCUCGCUGGGACGUUACUGACGCUGAGACGCGAAAGCGUGGGGAGCAAACAGG